AGUGAACGCUGGCGGUAGGCCUAACACAUGCAAGUCGAACGGCAGCACAGUAAGAGCUUGCUCUUACGGGUGGCGAGUGGCGGACGGGUGAGGAAUACAUCGGAAUCUACUUUUUCGCGGGGGAUAACGUAGGGAAACUUACGCUAAUACCGCAUACGACCUACGGGUGAAAGCAGGGGAUCUUCGGACCUUGCGCGAUUGAAUGAGCCGAUGUCGGAUUAGCUAGUUGGCGGGGUAAAGGCCCACCAAGGCGACGAUCCGUAGCUGGUCUGAGAGGAUGAUCAGCCACACUGGAGCUGAGACACGGUCCAGACUCCUACGGGAGGCAGCAGUGGGGAAUAUUGGACAAAGGGCGCAAGCCUGAUCCAGCCAUACCGCGUGGGUGAAGAAGGCCUUCGGGUUGUAAAGCCCUUUUGUUGGGAAAGAAAAGCAGCAGGUUAAUACCCCGCUGUUCUGACGGUACCCAAAGAAUAAGCACCGGCUAACUUCGUG
Molecule: ribosomal RNA, 492 nt
Filed under: uncultured bacterium
Lineage: Bacteria
Description: partial 16S ribosomal RNA
Rfam family: Bacterial small subunit ribosomal RNA
Source: RNAcentral